Molecule: ribosomal RNA, 429 nt
Filed under: Acidobacteriota bacterium
Lineage: Bacteria; Pseudomonadati; Acidobacteriota
Description: Acidobacteria bacterium partial 16S ribosomal RNA
Rfam family: Bacterial small subunit ribosomal RNA
Source: RNAcentral
UGGGGAAUUUUGGACAAUGGGGGAAACCCUGAUCCAGCCAUCCCGCGUGUGCGAUGAAGGCCUUCGGGUUGUAAAGCACUUUUGGCAGGAAAGAAACGUCAUGGGUUAAUACCCCGUGAAACUGACGGUACCUGCAGAAUAAGCACCGGCUAACUACGUGCCAGCAGCCGCGGUAAUACGUAGGGUGCAAGCGUUAAUCGGAAUUACUGGGCGUAAAGCGUGCGCAGGCGGUUCGGAAAGAAAGAUGUGAAAUCCCAGAGCUCAACUUUGGAACUGCAUUUUUAACUACCGGGCUAGAGUGUGUCAGAGGGAGGUGGAAUUCCGCGUGUAGCAGUGAAAUGCUUAGAUAUGCGGAGGAACACCGAUGGCGAAGGCAGCCUCCUGGGAUAACACUGACGCUCAUGCACGAAAGCGUGGGGAGCAAACAGG